This 1394-nucleotide ribosomal RNA is filed under the name metagenome. RNAcentral describes it as "bacterial LSU rRNA". It matches the Rfam family "Bacterial large subunit ribosomal RNA", at positions 1536 to 2925 of the family's 2925-position model. The record is from RNAcentral.
GAAAAUCCGCCCUCAUAAGCCAACGGUUGGGACCGAUCGCGUUUAUGUUCGAGAAGUCAUCUGAAAGACGUCCAAGAAAAUCUUCUAAGGGUUGAAGUUGGCGUGACCGUACUAAAACUGACACAGGUAGGCGAGACGAGUAGUCUAAGGCGCUCGGGAGAACACUGGUUAAGGAACUCUGCAAAUUGACCCCGUAAGUUCGCGAUAAGGGGUGCCUCCGAGGGCUUACGCUCUUGGAGGUCACAGUAAAUCGGCUUCAGCGACUGUUUAUCAAAAACACAGGACUCUGCUAACUCGUAAGAGGAUGUAUAGAGUCUGACGCCUGCCCGGUGUUGGUAGGUUAAGGAAGAGGGUUAGCUCUUCGGAGUGAAGCUCGCAACCGAAGCCCCAAUAAACGGCGGCCGUAACUAUGACGGUCCUAAGGUAGCGAAGUUCCUUGUCGGGUAAGUUCCGACCUGCAUGAAUGGCGUAACGACUGAAGCACUGUCUCAACCAGUGACCCGGUGAAAUUGUAGUCGUGGUGAAGAUGCCACGUUCCCGCAGCUAGACGGAAAGACCCCGUGAACCUUCACUGCAGGCUGAUAUUGGGUUGAGGUAUGUUCUGUGUAGGAUAGGUGGGAGGCGUUGAUCUGGGCACGCCAGUGUCCAGGGAGCCAUCCUUGAAAUACCACCCUGAAUAUGCUUUAGUUCUAACUCUGAUUCCCGUGAAUCCGGGCAGAGGACAUUUUCAGUUGGGCAGUUUGACUGGGGCGGUCUCCUCCAAAAAGGUAACGGAGGAGUUCAAAGGUACCCUCAGCCUGGUUGGCAAUCAGGCUUCGAGCGCAAAGGUAGAAGGGUGCUUAACUGCGAGACUCAUAAAUCGAGCAGAUACGAAAGUAGGACUUAGUGAUCCGGUGGUCCCGUGUGGAAGGGCCAUCGCUCAUCAGAUAAAAGGCACUCUGGGGAUAACAGGCUUAUCGCUUCCGAGCGUCCAUAGCGGCGAAGCGGUUUGGCACCUCGAUGUCGGCUCAUCACAUCCUGGGGGUGAAGAAGCUCCCAAGGGUUUGGCUGUUCGCCAAUGAAAGUGGUACGUGAGCUGGGUUCAGACCGUCAUGAGACAGGUCGGUCCCUAUCUGCUGUGGGCGCACGAAACUUGCGGAGGUUCUUCUUUAGUACGAGAGGAUUUGGAAGGACGUUCCUCUAGUUUUCCAGUUGUCACGCUAGUGGCACGGCUGGGUAGCUAUGAACGGAAAGGAUAAACGCUGAAAGCAUAUAAGCGUGAAGCCCGCUCCAAGAUCAGGUUUCGUAGGGCAAUGCCCGAAAGUCCCCUGGAAGACGACCAGGUUGAUAGGCCGGAUGUGUACGUGGAGUAAUCCAUUCAGCUAACCGGUACUAACGGACGAAUGCUUGGCCAC